UGGGGAAUAUUGCGCAAUGGGGGGAACCCUGACGCAGCAACGCCGCGUGAGUGAAGAAGGCCUUCGGGUCGUAAAACUCUGUCUUUGGGGACGAAAGAAAUGACGGUACCCAAGGAGGAAGCCCCGGCUAACUACGUGCCAGCAGCCGCGGUAAUACGUAGGGGGCGAGCGUUGUCCGGAAUUACUGGGCGUAAAGGGUGCGUAGGCGGCCUAUUAAGUCAGAUGUGAAAUACCACGGCUCAACCGUGGGGUUGCAUAUGAAACUGGAAGGCUUGAGUGCAGGAGAGGAAAGUGGAAUUCCUAGUGUAGCGGUGGAAUGCGUAGAGAUUAGGAGGAACACCAGUGGCGAAGGCGGCUUUCUGGACUGUAACUGACGCUGAGGCACGAAAGCGUGGGGAGCGAACAGGAUUAGAUACCCCCGUAGUCC
Molecule: ribosomal RNA, 427 nt
Filed under: uncultured prokaryote
Description: bacterial SSU rRNA
Rfam family: Bacterial small subunit ribosomal RNA
Source: RNAcentral